RNAcentral lists this ribosomal RNA (242 nucleotides) under uncultured bacterium. Its description in RNAcentral is "partial 16S ribosomal RNA". The stretch from base 1 to 195 matches the Rfam family "Bacterial small subunit ribosomal RNA", at positions 118 to 311 of the family's 1533-position model. The record is from RNAcentral.
UGAGGAACAUGUCCUUCGGCGGGGGAUAGCCGGCCCAACGGCCGGGUAAUACCGCGUACGACCACAUGGGGACAUCCCUGAGUGGUGAAAGCAGCAAUGCGCCGAUGGAGUGCCUCGCGGCCUAUCAGCUAGUUGGUGAGGUAACGGCUCACCAAGGCGACGACGGGUAGCUGGUCUGAGAGGAUGGCCAGCCACAGUUUGGGGACUGAAGACCACCGGCCCAGACCUUCGUAACGGGGAGG